UAAGACGAAGGUGGCGAGCGUUGUUCGGAAUCACUGGGCUUAAAGAGCACGUAGGCGGACUGUCAAGCGUUUUGUGAAAGCCCUCGGCUUAACCGAGGAAUUGCUUGGCGAACUGGCAGUCUUGAGGCAGGUAGGGGCAACUGGAACUCUUGGUGGAGCGGUGGAAUGCGUAGAUAUCAAGAGGAACGCCGAAGGCGAAGGCGAGUUGCUGGGCCUGUCCUGACGCUGAGGUGCGAAAGCGUGGGUAGCGAACGGGAUUAGAUACCCCGGUAGUCCACGCCCUAAACGAUGUCCACUAGGUUGGAGGCACUCUGACGUGUUUCUAGCCGAAAUGAAAACGGUAAGUGGACCGCCUGGGGAGUACGGUCGCAAGGCUA
Molecule: ribosomal RNA, 377 nt
Filed under: uncultured bacterium
Lineage: Bacteria
Description: bacterial SSU rRNA
Rfam family: Bacterial small subunit ribosomal RNA
Source: RNAcentral